AUGGCCAUGGUCCUGGAUGCCUUCGCAUCCUACGUGCAAAACAUGCUGACCGAAAUGGUGAGCGAGGAGGUGCACAUGCUACUUGGAGUCGAAGACGACAUCGACAAGAUGGACGUCAAGCUUAGGGACCUCAAGAACUUCCUUGCCGACGCUGACAGGAGAAACAUCACCGACGAGACCGUGCGAGAGUGGGUCGGCCAGCUCAAGCGCGCCAUGUACAAAGCUGCCGACAUCCUCGACCUCUGCAAGCUCAAGGCCAUGGAGCGCGGUCCAUCCAAAGUAGACUGCGGGUGCUUCAACCCCUUGCUCUUUUGCAUGCGGAAUCCCUCCCUUGCCCGCGAUAUCGGCACCCGCAUCAAGGCGCUUAACAAGAGGCUCGACGCCAUCAAGGAGCGAAGCGCUGCUUUUAGCUUCAUCAAUCUUAGUUCCUAUGAGGAUCGUGGCAUCAAUGUGCACGCCCCUCGUUCUAGUGAUGCCAGGCGUGAGACAUCAGGGGAGUUCGACCGGCAGGGUGUAGUCGGGGAGAAGAUCGAAGAAGACACAAGAAAACUGGUUGAGAUGAUGCUUUCUGAAAAAGAGAGCAACAACAAUAUCAUGGUGUUCGCUGUUGUUGGUGUUGGUGGGAUCGGACUUUGA
RNAcentral lists this ribosomal RNA (636 nucleotides) under Triticum aestivum (bread wheat). Its description in RNAcentral is "partial small subunit ribosomal RNA". The record is from RNAcentral. Lineage: Eukaryota; Viridiplantae; Streptophyta; Magnoliopsida; Poales; Poaceae.